GACGAACGCUGGCGGCGUGCCUAAUACAUGCAAGUUGAGCGAUGAAGAUUGGUGCUUGCACCAAUUUGAAGAGCAGCGAACGGGUGAGUAACGCGUGGGGAAUCUGCCUUUGAGCGGGGGCAACCUUUGGAAACGAAUGCUAAUACCGCAUAACAACUUUAAACAUAAGUUUUAAGUUUGAAAGAUGCAAUUGCAUCACUCAAAGAUGAUCCCGCGUUGUAUUAGCUAGUUGGUGAGGUAAAGGCUCACCAAGGCGAUGAUACAUAGCCGACCUGAGAGGGUGAUCGGCCACAUUGGGACUGAGACACGGCCCAAACUCCUACGGGAGGCAGCAGUAGGGAAUCUUCGGCAAUGGACGAAAGUCUGACCGAGCAACGCCGCGUGAGUGAAGAAGGUUUUCGGAUCGUAAAACUCUGUUGGUAGAGAAGAACGUUGGUGAGAGUGGAAAGCUCAUCAAGUGACGGUAACUACCCAGAAAGGGACGGCUAACUACGUG
RNAcentral lists this ribosomal RNA (496 nucleotides) under uncultured bacterium. RNAcentral's name for it is "partial 16S ribosomal RNA". It matches the Rfam family "Bacterial small subunit ribosomal RNA", at positions 28 to 507 of the family's 1533-position model. The record is from RNAcentral.